RNAcentral lists this unclassified non-coding RNA (5137 nucleotides) under Hevea brasiliensis (rubber tree). Lineage: Eukaryota; Viridiplantae; Streptophyta; Magnoliopsida; Malpighiales; Euphorbiaceae. The record is from RNAcentral.
UAUUUGUUUGUUUUAUUCUGCGCCCGGAAGUAGGUACUAUUUAGGAUUGGUCAUCACCAGCUGCCUCAUUCACGCGAAAUCCUUCCAUUGCAGACUCUGUUUGCAAAAAUCUCUCUCAUUCUUCUCCUCUAUCGCCUCAUUUCUCUGUAGCUGCUGUGUCUUCUUAUAUUUCUGUGCUCUCUCAGGUCAUGUAACAAUCUUUUCUCUUCUGCUCUUCAAAGUUCUUUGUAUUGCUUCUCCCAAGUAUUUCUUCUGAAUAAUGUGAUCUUGGUUUAAGUGCUCUUGUUGCUUCUUUUUUCUGGUUUAUUAAUGCCCACUUGCUCAAAACUCUUCUAAAGCAAUCUUGCAUUGAUUCCAAUCAUGGGUUCUCGUUAAAUCGUCUUGUCAAGCCAUCUGUGUAUAGUUCUGUUAAUGCCCAUUUGCUUCAAAUUGUUUUGAAAAAUUGAUAAUGUUGUGUUUGACAAUGGGUUUUCGUUAAUUUGGUUCUUUCUUCUCUUAGUCUCACUACUCUUUGGCCAGGAUUUUUGCUGUUUUUAGCAUUUAUAACUGUAACAUGUAAUUUGAAUCCAUCAGUUGCUUCUUCUUUUAUGUUAGUUUGCUUUUUGGCGGGACUUAGUUCACGAAUAGAAAGCCUUUCAUGAUAAUGAAAUAAAAAGUUUGUUCUAAUGGAUCUUUAUUUCAUUGAAGUCAAACGCUAACAAGAUCUGAGCAUAUGCAGAGCAUCUGUUCUUUCCGGUAAUUUAGACUCUUCUAUUUCAUUAUGGAUUCUGUUCGCUAACAUCCUUGAUUCUUAACCGACAGAUGGAAUUCAAGUGAUUUGAUUAUUGCUAACCGGUUACUUUUUUCUUCACUGCAAAUAUACCAAAAUCAUUCUUUAUAUGUUCCUUCAAAUGUAAAAUACAUUUGUCUACAGAAUUUUAUACUAUCCAAAAUGAUUAGUUUAGGCUUAUAUUCUUGUUUUUCAUUCUGGUCCUUGUGUCCAUAACUUCUUACUCUUUACAUUCACAUAUGCAAGCUUAGUUAUCGUAUUGGCCUCUCGAGUUAGAGUCUGCUGUUUUUAGUUUUAGUUGGUUGUUUGUGAACAAGAAAUUCAAAGAUAUACGUAUUUCCUUCUUAUUCACCAAAACUUUGAACCAUAAUGGAGGAAACUUUUGUUCCCUUCCGUGGUAUAAAAAAUGAUCUCAAAGGAAGGCUUUUGUGCUACAAACAAGAUUGGACUGGUGGUUUCCGUGCUGGUAUCAGGAUCCUAGCUCCAACAACAUAUAUAUUCUUUGCUUCAGCAAUUCCAGUCAUAUCUUUUGGGGAACAGCUAGAGAGAAAUACAGGUGGAACUUUGACUGCAGUGCAAACUCUUGCAUCAACAGCACUUUGUGGCAUCAUCCAUUCAAUUGUUGGAGGACAAACCCUGCUCAUACUGGGGGUUGCUGAGCCAACUGUGUUGAUGUACACAUUUAUGUUCAACUUUGUAAAGGACAGGAAGGAUCUGGGGCCAAAACUCUUCUUAGCCUGGACUGGAUGGGUUUGCGUAUGGACAGCCCUGUUGCUUUUCUUGCUGGCAAUAUUGGGUGCGUGCUCUAUAAUUAACAGAUUCACACGUGUUGCUGGUGAAUUGUUUGGUCUGCUUAUUGCAAUGCUCUUUAUGCAGCAGGCCAUAAGGGGAGUUGUGGAGGAGUUUGGCAUACCGGAGAGGGAAAAUCCUAAUCAGACUGCACUCCAACCUUCUUGGCGAUUUGGCAAUGGAAUGUUUGCGUUGGUUCUCUCCUUUGGCCUUCUUUGGAAUGCAUUAAAGAGCCGUAAAGCUAGGUCCUGGCGCUAUGGGACAGGUUGGCUACGAGGAUUUAUUGCAGAUUAUGGAGUUCCACUUAUGGUGCUUGUAUGGACUGCAAUAUCCUACAUGCCAGCUAAGCAUGUUCCAAGAGGGAUACCAAGGCGGCUUUUCAGUCCAAAUCCAUGGUCUACUGGUGCAUACUCAAAUUGGACAGUUAUCAAGGAAAUGACUGAUGUGCCUGCUUUAUACAUAGUUGGAGCAUUUAUUCCUGCAACCAUGAUUGCUGUCCUCUACUACUUUGAUCACAGUGUUGCAUCUCAACUUGCCCAACAAAAGGAGUUCAAUUUGAAGAAACCAUCUUCCUAUCAUUAUGACCUCCUGCUGUUGGGAGCUUUGGUUAUUUUAUGUGGUCUCAUUGGCAUUCCUCCGUCAAAUGGUGUAAUUCCACAAUCUCCAAUGCAUACUAAAAGCUUAGUUACAUUGAAGCAUCAGCUUUUGCGAAAUAAACUUGCAUCAACAGUCCGAAAAAGUAUAAGCAAAAAUGCAAAUCUGGGUCAAUUGUACCAAAACAUGCAAGAAGCCUACAAUGAAAUGCAGACUCCUUUAGUCUAUCAACUGCCACCUUCACUGGGGCUGAAAGAGCUGAAAGAAUCAACUGUCCAAUUGGCCUCAAGGGCUGGCUACAUUGAUGCCCCUGUAGAUGAGACUGUUUUUGAUGUUGAUAAAGACAUAGAUGAUCUUUUACCAGUUGAAGUCAAAGAACAACGCCUCAGCAAUCUGCUUCAGGCACUGAUGGUUGGAGGUUGCAUUGCUGCUAUGCCCCUCUUGAAGAAGAUCCCAACUUCAGUUCUCUGGGGAUACUUUGCUUUUAUGGCCAUUGAAAGCUUGCCAGGAAAUCAAUUUUGGGAGAGAAUAUUAUUGCUUUUUACAGCUCCAAGUCGAAGAUACAAGGCAUUGGAGGAGUGCCAUGCGACUUUUAUUGAGACGGUGCCCUUCAAAACAAUUGCCAUUUUCACCUUGUUCCAGACAGUUUACCUGCUUGUGUGCUUUGGCAUAACAUGGAUCCCAAUAGCUGGGGUGCUUUUCCCAAUGUUGAUCAUGCUUCUGGUCCCUGUACGACAGUAUCUGCUCCCUAAAUUUUUCAAAGGUGCACAUCUACAAGAUUUGGAUGCAGCAGAAUAUGAGGAAGCUCCUGCUGUAUCUUACAAUAUGGCAUUUGACGUAAGUUACCUUAACCUUUUCUUCAAUUCAGGUAGGAUUGCUUAACAAUCAAGUUGGUGAAAAAGGCUCUUUCUCCUGAGUGCUAUUUGAUGGGAUAAGUCAAUUAACAUGGAUCUGGUUUUUGUCAUGUCCACUCGAAUGUUUUGUCAAGAACUGCUAUAACUUUCUAGGGACUAAACUGAUAGAGUUCAUCAAAGUGUGUGCUAUAGGGAUCGAUACUUCUAAAUGUUUGACUGAAUAAGGAUAAUGUUGAUUCUGAAGCUUUGAGCUUUAAUCUGCAAAAUUCUAUGCCUCUGGCAGGAUCAGGAUCUUCAAGCAAGAUCAUCUAACAUUGAUGGAGGAGAAAUUCUUGAUGAAAUUAUCACAAGAAGCCGAGGUGAGAUCCGCCGUACACAAAGCCCUAAAGUGACAAGUUCCAGUCCAGGUUCAUUACACGACAUAAAACCUGCAUAUAGUCCGCGUAUGUCACUGAGGGCAUACAGUCCGCGUGUUAGUGAACUGAGGGCAGAAUGGAGCCCCCAUUCUAUUGGAAAGGGAGUUGAAAUAAAGCGAACUCCUAGUCCAGGCCCGUCUAGUCUUGGUCAAAGCACUCGCGGUUCAUCUUCAAGCUAAUUCUGGUGAGUUUAGUUGUCAGUUUGCUCGAGAGGCCUUUCACUAAGAAUAUGUAACUGAGUGAUAUAUGUUUAGGUGUGUUUUUGUCUUCUUGGUUCAAAAAUUAGGAUAUCUGUCACUGCUUAUUCGCUCUGUAUGUCGCAGAUAGUUUUCUGGGAGUUGGUAUUAAUGAAAUUUGUGCAUUAUGUUGAAAGAAAGCAUUCUCAUAUUGGGAACUAAAGGGCCAACGAAAUGGGAAAUUGAUGGUAAUGUAAUAAACCUUAAUUUGUUUGCAAUGCAAAUAAAUGCUACUAUAAUCUUACUCCAAAAUGUCAAAAGUGAAUGCACUUUAGAAUAAUGCAUAAAAGCUGAAGACAGUAGACUUCCUUUCCUGCUUACUCCUUCAAAACUUCAUUUUUGUUAGCAAAUUAGUAACUUCUAGCUUUCUGAGCCUCUGCUUAACAUCAAUUAAUUUCUUGUGAAACAACUCCUGCAUAACAUGGAAUUCAACAUAAGAUCAUUUUACAUUUGAUCCAAAAACCAAAAAGCAUUUUAAUUUCUAAAAAUUUGAGAAAUGUUCCUCUAAGAUUUGCAACCGUUUUUUUUUUUUUCACUGCAUCUUAUAAGGACUUGGCUUGCUAGCAUAGUUCCCCCUCCACCACCGCCUUUCUCGUUUGGCUACCCAACAUAAAGGUUUGAAUCUAUGUAUUUUUUUUCAAUCACAUGUUACCCCUUUUACCUCUCAAGCUAAGAAUUAAAAGCUACCAAGGAACAUGAUUACUUCAAGGGUCUAUUCAUACUUGUUAUGCAUCAGAUGUUUUUCAUGGUCCCAAAGCAGAACCGGAGUAAAUAACCAGGUACAAGUUCGGCAGGUCUCAGAUUCCUGUGUCUAUACUUUGAUUUGCUUUCAUUUUACCAGUUGUGAGAUGUUUCUAGCCAUGCUGUAAGAAUUUGUGAAAGCAGAUGAGUAAAAAUUCACAGCAUGUCAUCUAGGAGCACCAGAAUGGAACAGGUGCGUAGUAUCUGUCAUCUCAGCAGCCCCUUUACAGUUUACAGGCACUAUUUGUCUUCAGUUCCCUCCUUUUUCCUAGAAAAAAGUCCUCUCAAGGGAGCAGUUGUUCUGACAAGUGAUGUAGACGAUGUUCAUGUAGCUAUAAGUCUUCCAGCCUUCCACUAAUGGUUCUAGGGUGGUGAGGGAAAUCUCUUCAAGUAAACAUCGCUAUCAAGGGGAGCAAUCCACUUUUGAUUUAUAUGUCCUUGCCUUGACAUUACAGAAGCUAAUGGGAGUAGCCUAUUAUUAGGUGGGAGCUGCCAUGUCCUUCAUUUCCUAACUGAUAACAUUUUAUAAUCUUGGAUUUGAUCAUUUUUCAUAUAUCUUAUUGCCUAAUUGACCAUUUUGUUUAUUUAGUUUUUCUUUCGCUUUCUGCUUGCAUAAUUUUAAUGCUUUUAAGGUGCGAAAUCUGUUUAACUGUAAAAUGAGAACAGCUGCAUAAGAAAAAUGAAUUUCAUGAACAAGGAUGAGCAGAAAAGUUGAUGAACUGAUUACUUGUAUCAAAC